GAAAUGCGAUACUUGGUGUGAAUUGCAGAAUCCCGUGAACCAUCGAGUCUUUGAACGCAAGUUGCGCCCGAAGCCAUUAGGCCGAGGGCACGCCUGCCUGGGUGUCACACAUCGUUUCCCCAACGCAAACAUGUAACAAUGUUGCUUGAAAUGAAGCGCGUGUUGUGCUUGGUCACACUCUUGACUGGCGUACCAGUUCUCCUCGGAGAUUCCUUUGCGCCAUCCAAAGUCGAGAGCGAGUAUUGGCCCGCAAUCGCGACUGCUUUACCCCCUUGUGGGCCCCUGGUGGGCGUGCUGUAAUGGCGCGAACACCACACCGUUGAUCUCAAGUCAGGCAAGACUACCCGCUGAAUUUAA
RNAcentral lists this unclassified non-coding RNA (357 nucleotides) under uncultured fungus. RNAcentral describes it as "sequence contains ITS1". The stretch from base 1 to 107 matches the Rfam family "5.8S ribosomal RNA", at positions 50 to 154 of the family's 154-position model. The record is from RNAcentral. Lineage: Eukaryota; Fungi.